UGCGCGGUUGACGAGGAAGCCCGGCGAACUCUUCACCGGCAGCGGCAGACGAUCGAUGGCGCCGACAAACUUCAAAGCUGUCGCCAAUGCGUGGGGAUCGACGGUGUCGUGGCUNCACCUCGACGAGUUGCAAACGUGACACCGGAUUGAAGAAAUGCAGGCCCAGCAGCCGCUCGGGAUGCUUCAGCGUGGUGCGCAGAUCCUGCAACGGAAUGCUGGAGGUGUUGGUGGCAAGGAUCGCGCCGGCUUUCAUCACAGGCUCGAGCCCGGCAUAGACCUUCUGUUUCAGUUCGAGCUUUUCCGGCACCGCCUCANCAGCUCGAGUUUUUCCGGCACCGCCUCGAUGAUCAGAUCGGCGUUGCGCACGCCCUCCCCGNGUCGAGCGCAUCGCGCAGAUCGGUCUUCUUGCGGAUGAUCUUGCCGAACAGCUCUGCCGCCCGCUUGAUCGCUCCGGCAAUCGGCUCGGCCUUCAUGUCAGCUAAUGUCA
Molecule: unclassified non-coding RNA, 487 nt
Filed under: Hevea brasiliensis (rubber tree)
Lineage: Eukaryota; Viridiplantae; Streptophyta; Magnoliopsida; Malpighiales; Euphorbiaceae
Source: RNAcentral